UUGAAAACGAAAAAAUUUUGUUUGGAUAGAGAAGUCUAUUACAGGGGAUUUGAAAAGAAAGUGCAGUCUUUCAAUAUAUGCUCCAAAUGAAUGAAUGCACUUCACAUAGCAAAAUGCAAUGCAAUCAUUCUUAAUGCAGUCUCACCUGGACAGUGCCAUGAAAUAACAUUCUGAUCUUUGAUGAAAGAAAAAAGUUCCAGCCCAUCAGCUGCUUUCAAGAUCAUGCAUUUGGCCCACAUGCAGUUUGAAUUUGAGAUUACUGCCUUUAUGUAAGCUUAUUGUCAAUCUUGGAAAGUGAAACUGCAUUGUAUAUUGCAUUAUUUUUGCCUUAGGUAGGCUGUGUAUUUAUAUUAUCAC
This is a long non-coding RNA of Stegodyphus dumicola, 357 nucleotides long. NCBI's taxonomy places the organism in Eukaryota, Metazoa, Arthropoda, Arachnida, Araneae, Eresidae. The record is from RefSeq and is a predicted model, not a curated record.